RNAcentral lists this ribosomal RNA (508 nucleotides) under uncultured bacterium. RNAcentral's name for it is "partial 16S ribosomal RNA". It matches the Rfam family "Bacterial small subunit ribosomal RNA", at positions 28 to 523 of the family's 1533-position model. The record is from RNAcentral.
GAUGAACGCUAGCUACAGGCUUAACACAUGCAAGUCGAGGGGAAACGCCAUCGAAAGCUUGCUUUUGAUGGGCGUAGACCGGCGCACGGGUGAGUAACGCGUAUUCAACCUGCCGACCACUCGGGGAUAACCUCGAGAAAGUAAGACUAAUACCCAUUGAUAUAUCUAGAAGACAUCUGAAAGGGAUUAAAGAGUUAUCGGUGAUGGAUGGGGAUGCGUCUGAUUAGCUUGUUGGCGGGGAAACGGCCCACCAAGGCGACGAUCAGUAGGGGGUCUGAGAGGAAGGUCCCCCACAUUGGAACUGAGACACGGUCCGAACUCCUACGGGAGGCAGCAGUGAGGAAUAUUGGUCAAUGGACGAGAGUCUGAACCAGCCAAGUAGCGUGCAGGAUGACGGCCCUAUGGGUUGUAAACUGCUUUUAUAAGGGAAUAAAGUGAGUCUCGUGAGACUUUGUGCAUGUACCUUAUGAAUAAGGACCGGCUAAUUCCGUGCCAGCCGCCGCGGUAA